Non-coding RNA from Nannospalax galili (Upper Galilee mountains blind mole rat), 631 nucleotides. Lineage: Eukaryota; Metazoa; Chordata; Mammalia; Rodentia; Spalacidae. The record is from the annotation of a RefSeq genome assembly.
CUGGUUGAGCAGGAUCUGGCCACAAGAUGGCAGAGCAUCUCCGCAGCUGCAGAACUUAGAAGGGACUUCUGGUUGACUUCUCUAGGAGCAGGCUGCAGACAGAAACAGUGCUCUGUACAGAUAGUUUAGGAACCAGCUAUGCUGGGGAGGAAAGAGGAGGUAACCUGAUAACACACAUCUUGCCUGGCUGGAGGCCACAGUCUCAAGGGGCACAAUGAAGACGCUGACGGGACCUUUGUUCCUGUGCUUGUGGCUAAAGCUGGACUGUGUGAGCAGAGGAGAGCAGGUGGAGCAGAGUCCUGCUUUCCUGAGUGUCCGGGAGGGAGACAGCUCUGUCAUCAACUGCAGCUACACAGACAGCACCUCAUCUUACUUCUACUGGUACAAGCAGGAGCCUGGGGCAGGUCUCCAGUUCCUUAUAAAAAUUGUUUCAAAUGUGGACAAAAAAGAAGACCCAAGACUCUCUGUCCUACUGAAUAAGAAGGAAAAACAUCUCUCCCUGCACAUCACAGGGGCCCACCCUGGGGACUCGGCCACAUACUUCUGUGCAGCAGAAGCACGGUGUGCCCCAGGCACCUGCUGUCUGUACCCAAACCUGAGAUCAGGACUACAGACUUUUUUCUACCUUUGA